CAGUCGCCGCGGUAAUACGUAGGUGGCAAGCGUUGUCCGGAAUUAUUGGGCGUAAAGGGCUCGCAGGCGGUUUCUUAAGUCUGAUGUGAGAGCCCCCGGCUCAACCGGGGAGGGUCAUUGGAAACUGGGAAACUUGAGUGCAGAAGAGGAGAGUGGAAUUCCACGUGUAGCGGUGAAAUGCGUAGAGAUGUGGAGGAACACCGGUGGCGAAGGCGGCUCACUGGCCCGGAACUGACGCUGAGGCACGAAAGCGUGGGGAGCAAACAGGAUUAGAUACCCCAGUAGUCCCUGUCUCUUAUAC
This 301-nucleotide ribosomal RNA is filed under the name uncultured bacterium. RNAcentral describes it as "partial 16S ribosomal RNA". It matches the Rfam family "Bacterial small subunit ribosomal RNA", at positions 509 to 807 of the family's 1533-position model. The record is from RNAcentral.